This 279-nucleotide ribosomal RNA is filed under the name uncultured Subdoligranulum sp. RNAcentral describes it as "partial 16S ribosomal RNA". It matches the Rfam family "Bacterial small subunit ribosomal RNA", at positions 65 to 339 of the family's 1533-position model. Lineage: Bacteria; Bacillati; Bacillota; Clostridia; Eubacteriales; Oscillospiraceae. The record is from RNAcentral.
AACGAGAGAUGAGGAGCUUGCUCUUCAAAUCGAGUGGCGAACGGGUGAGUAACGCGUGAGUAACCUGCCCUAGAGUGGGGGACAACAGUUGGAAACGACUGCUAAUACCGCAUAAGCCCACGGUGCCGCAUGACACUGAGGGAAAAGGAUUUAUUCGCUUUAGGAUGGACUCGCGUCCAAUUAGCUAGUUGGUGAGGUAACGGCCCACCAAGGCGACGAUUGGUAGCCGGACUGAGAGGUUGAACGGCCACAUUGGAACUGAGACACGGUCCAAACUCC